UAAGCGGUAGCAUAAAAAAUGUGCUUCAUUGAAAAUGAAGAAGAUGGUCUUUAUAGAUCCUGCUUUA
This 67-nucleotide transfer RNA is filed under the name Mytilisepta virgata. Its description in RNAcentral is "tRNA-Phe". Lineage: Eukaryota; Metazoa; Mollusca; Bivalvia; Mytilida; Mytilidae. The record is from RNAcentral.